RNAcentral lists this unclassified non-coding RNA (1302 nucleotides) under Patiria miniata (bat star). RNAcentral describes it as "endonuclease V-like, transcript variant X3". The record is from RNAcentral. Lineage: Eukaryota; Metazoa; Echinodermata; Asteroidea; Valvatida; Asterinidae.
GUACGUUUGCUCAUCAAAGAUGGCGGCGCCCAGUGGACUCACGUUGGUGAAGUGUUCCGAGAUUUUCCUGGCUAUAAACCUACUUUCGUGAUAACUAAUGAGUUCUGUAUUAUGAAUUCUUUUAGACGAAACUCUGUCAGAUAUUUUUUCUACUAAAAUAGAAGUUUUGGUAAUUUUUAACUUGUGAAAAACAUCUUUGAAGUUAACGUCUGUGUGGCAGACGUAAACGUUGGUAGCAUUAUGACCAUAGAGGGCGCUACAGCAGCACAACGGUGGGCCGGCGACCGAGUUUUGCGAAGAGGAGGACUUUUUCUUCAGUCCAUUUUACUAUUUUAGUGUGGGACUAAACAACUAAAACUUAGAUGAACAAGUUCACCUGGCGAGAUGUCAAAUUUAUCACGGCAAACUGACAAAGUUUUUGAAGAAUUUCACCAAAAGUGGGAAAGGGAACAACAGGAAUUGAAGAAGAAAUUGGUGUUGGAGGACACAGAAUCCUGGCGGCAAGACUUUGGCAGCCUACGGUACAUCGGCGGUGUGGAUGUGUCGUUUGUCAAAACAAGUACCACGCUUGCCUGUGCGUCAUUGGUUGUGUGUGAUUAUCCAGACCUCAAGGUCGUGUACUCUGACUGUGAGCUGGUGCACCUUGACAUGCCUUACAUUCCUGGCUUCCUAGCAUUCAGAGAAGUGGGAUUCUUCCUCAACCUCCUUGACAAAUUGAAAGACACCAACCAUGGCCUAACACCUCAAGUCAUACUUGUGGAUGGUAAUGGCAUUCUACAUCCUAGAGGUUUUGGCAUAGCCAGUCAUCUGGGUGUGCUGAGCGGCAUACCGUGUGUGGGCGUGGCUAAGACACUGAUGCAGGUGGACGGUAUCGCUAAAGAUGAAAAGUUUGCGGCAAAGGUUGCUGAACUCAGUGAUGACGGAGACACCUUCCCGCUGGUGACAGCUUCGGGACAGGUUCUAGGAAUGGCCAUGAGGGGAUGUGACAAGUCAAGCAACCCGAUAUUUGUGUCCGUUGGGCACCGAGUCUCUCUGCAAACAGCCACGGAGCUCGCCAGGCGAUGCUGCAAGUAUAGAGUUACCGAGCCGGUCAGACAGCACGUCUCUCAUCUUGGAACUUGAUAAAAUCCCAAGCAGGUAUUCCAUUGGCAAGUUCAUAUAAAUACUGAAAUCUUGGACCUCUUUGAAAAGGCCGAUAUUCGUUCACGCGAAUUUCUCCGUGACAUGUUCCCGGAGACUGCCCCAAGUAGAAAGCAGCAACCGAAAGCCAAAAAGACCAAAGCUCACGAAGACAUGUCACGC